Non-coding RNA from Taeniopygia guttata (zebra finch), 1263 nucleotides. NCBI's taxonomy places the organism in Eukaryota, Metazoa, Chordata, Aves, Passeriformes, Estrildidae. The record is from RefSeq and is a predicted model, not a curated record.
GCCGCCGCCGCGCCGCCGCCGACCAAUCAGCGCCGCGCCGCCCCGCGCCGCGCCCCCAUUGGUCCGGGCGGGAAGCGGGGCUCGGACCGGCGCGCCGGGCGGGGGGCGCCCCGGGCCCGGCCCGGCCAUCCCCGGCCUUAUCCCCAUCCUUAUCCUUAUCCCCAUCCUUAUCCCCAUCCCCGGCCUUAUUCCCGUCCCUGUCCCGCCGUCCCGCGCGGGGCGAUCCCCCCCGCCGGUGCCUCCAUCCGCCGAGCCGGGGGUCCGCUCCGUUGCGUUCAAAAGCAUAGCCGUCCCUCCCCGCAGCCCCGCCGGUACUCGCCGGGCCGGCAGCGGAGAACUCGCCGUGCCCCUACCUGCUACCCGAGCGGGUUCGGCUGCCCCGACACUAUCGCAUCUUCCUCCCGGGAAGGGAGGCGGAGAGCCCCGGUACAGCGGUCCCCGAGGCGGAGAGCCCCGGUACAGCGGUCCCCGAGGCGGAGACCCCCGGCACAGCGGUCCCGGCUGAGCUGCUGGGCAGAACCGGGGAGUAACGGGGGGUCUCUCUGCUAAACCCCCCGGGGCACACGGGACGCUGCUCCGCUGCUGCCGGACCCCCGCCGCCACGUCUCAAACUUCGGGGAAAUCCCUUUCGAUCCCCCCUCCCGCUCCUUUCCCGUCCCUUUUCCGCUAGGACCGGCUUUUUAUCCCGGCGGGAGAAACCCAGAGCUCUCAGGAACGACCAGAAGAGCGAAACAAACAAGAAACCGCGGAAGAAAGCAUUGGAAAGGCGGCCGGGAGAUAAUCCAGGAAUGCUUCAGAUAAGGAAAGGAGGGGGGCUAUACGUGCGGAGAUACCCGAAAAAGUCCGAGCCUGAUGGAAGGGCUGAAAGAGGGACGGGGGGUGAGGGGGAAACCCGCACUUGUUUAGAGUCUAUGAAAGGUCACAGCGGGCUGGGGGGUGGCUGCGGGUGCUGAUAAGAGUUUAGGAACGAGGGGGUUUAAGCGCGCAGCGUUUGGGGAGGGGGUUUAUUUACCGGCUGCCGAUGCUGAAAAGAAAAGAGAAGCGGGACCGUCCGGAAAGUCAGGCCGGGGUCAGCCAGGGGCUGCCCUGCGCCCACCGCCGGCACAGCUCCGGCCCCGGAGCCGCGGCCGCCCCGGGAGCACCGGGGGCCGGUACCGGGAGCUGCCGCUCCCCCGCGGCCGGGCCUGCCGCUCGCACAACUUGAUUCAUUCAAUGCAGGGCUUCAGGAAAUAUUUCCUAAUAAAAUUUACGGUUGUCUUCAAA